CAUUGUUCUAAGUGCUACCGCUGAACAAUAAUCGCUUGAAUUUCAUUUCCCAGGACGCCACUCCCCGCCCCCGUCCCGCCGCCCCCCUCCCAAUUCCUUUAAUUACUUUCCGAUCUUCGAAUGAUUGAUCACAAUCUGCUGCCGCCAGCGUUCUGAUAUUGGUCGUCUCAAUCCGUUUACAACAACAAAGUUUCAACAAACUUUCUCAAUUAAAUUACAAAACACAAGAGGCUUGUUAUGAGUUGUAACAGUUGCUGGCUUGUAUCUGGCAUCGUAAUGAAGGUGCGGCGUCGCUGCUUCGAAAUCGGGUAUGGUGGAAGCUUAAUCGACGAUGAGGUCUUAAAAAGGAUCAUCAGGUGCUUGUCCUUCUAUAAUAUCUUCUUCUGAGUCGGUCUUUACAUUGCUGGAGGUCGUGUCUAGUUUGAAACGUUGACCUCUCGAUCCACUUUACUUUCCCAUGUCUUCCUGUCCUUGGCGGUCUUUAUAGCCUAGGUUAUUAGCAGGCCGG
This is a long non-coding RNA of Bombyx mori (domestic silkworm), 508 nucleotides long. RefSeq lists it as uncharacterized. The record is from RefSeq and is a predicted model, not a curated record. NCBI's taxonomy places the organism in Eukaryota, Metazoa, Arthropoda, Insecta, Lepidoptera, Bombycidae. The transcript is spliced from 3 exons.